GACGAACGCUGGCGGCGUGCCUAAUACAUGCAAGUUGAGCGAUGAAGAUUGGUGCUUGCACCAAUUUGAAGAGCAGCGAACGGGUGAGUAACGCGUGGGGAAUCUGCCUUUGAGCGGGGGACAACAUUUGGAAACGAAUGCUAAUACCGCAUAACAACUUUAAACAUAAGUUUUAAGAUUGAAAGAUGCAAUUGCAUCACUCAAAGAUGAUCCCGCGUUGUAUUAGCUAGUUGGUGAGGUAAAGGCUCACCAAGGCGAUGAUACAUAGCCGACCUGAGAGGGUGAUCGGCCACAUUGGGGCUGAGACACGGCCCAAACUCCUACGGGAGGCAGCAGUAGGGAAUCUUCGGCAAUGGACGAAAGUCUGACCGAGCAACGCCGCGUGAGUGAAGAAGGUUUUCGGAUCGUAAAACUCUGUUGGUAGAGAAGAACGUUGGUGAGAGUGGAAAGCUCAUCAAGUGACGGUAACUACCCAGAAAGGGACGGCUAACUACGUG
This 497-nucleotide ribosomal RNA is filed under the name uncultured bacterium. Its description in RNAcentral is "partial 16S ribosomal RNA". It matches the Rfam family "Bacterial small subunit ribosomal RNA", at positions 28 to 507 of the family's 1533-position model. The record is from RNAcentral.